This 253-nucleotide ribosomal RNA is filed under the name uncultured bacterium. Its description in RNAcentral is "partial 16S ribosomal RNA". It matches the Rfam family "Bacterial small subunit ribosomal RNA", at positions 524 to 776 of the family's 1533-position model. The record is from RNAcentral.
UACAGAGGGGGCAAGCGUUGUUCGGAAUUACUGGGCGUAAAGGGCGCGUAGGCGGCCAACUAAGUCAGACGUGAAAUCCCUCGGCUUAACCGGGGAACUGCAUCUGAUACUGGAUGGCUUGAGUUCGGGAGAGGGAUGCGGAAUUCCAGGUGUAGCGGUGAAAUGCGUAGAUAUCUGGAGGAACACCGGUGGCGAAGGCGGCAUCCUGGACCGACACUGACGCUGAGGAGCGAAAGCCAGGGGAGCAAACGGG